GAUGAGCGCUGGCGGCGUGCCUAAUACAUGCAAGUCGAGCGAACGGACGAGAAGCUUGCUUCUCUGAUGUUAGCGGCGGACGGGUGAGUAACACGUGGAUAACCUACCUAUAAGACUGGGAUAACUUCGAGAAACCGGAGCUAAUACCGGAUGAUAUUUUGAACCGCAUGGUUCAAAAGUGAAAGACGGUCUUGCUGUCACUUAUAGAUGGAUCCGCGCUGCAUUAGCUAGUUGGUAAGGUAACGGCUUACCAAGGCAACGAUGCAUAGCCGACCUGAGAGGGUGAUCGGCCACACUGGAACUGAGACACGGUCCAGACUCCUACGGGAGGCAGCAGUAGGGAAUCUUCCGCAAUGGGCGAAAGCCUGACGGAGCAACGCCGCGUGAGUGAUGAAGGUCUUCGGAUCGUAAAACUCUGUUAUUAGGGAAGAACAUAUGUGUAAGUAACUGUGCACAUCUUGACGGUACCUAAUCAGAAAGCCACGGCUAACUACGUG
RNAcentral lists this ribosomal RNA (497 nucleotides) under uncultured bacterium. RNAcentral describes it as "partial 16S ribosomal RNA". It matches the Rfam family "Bacterial small subunit ribosomal RNA", at positions 28 to 507 of the family's 1533-position model. The record is from RNAcentral.